Molecule: long non-coding RNA, 421 nt
Organism: Prionailurus viverrinus (fishing cat)
Lineage: Eukaryota; Metazoa; Chordata; Mammalia; Carnivora; Felidae
Exons: 4
Source: RefSeq, a predicted model, not a curated record
AGAAAAGUGAGAGUUCCAACUUUGCUCUUGGCCCGGGAGGGUUUUGGCGCGGAGCGUUGUCAUGUCAGAGAAAAAGCAGCCAGUAGAUUUGGGUCUCUUGGAGGAGGACGACGAGUUCGAGGAGUUCCCUGCGGAAGGCCUGCACACUGAAGUAAACACAGCUGUGGUUAUUUAAACAAUUAAUCACAAUCCUGGAAAUGCAUUUCAUGUUGAAGAUAAAGUGUGAAUACUUUAUAAAGUCAUCUACAUAUUGAAGGAAAGCAUUAGAUAUGAAUCAGACUGGGCUGGUUUGGAUGAGGAUGAAGAUGCACAUGUCUGGGAGGAUAAUUGGGAUGAUGACAAUGUAGAGGAUGACUUCUCCAAUCAGUUACGAGCUGAACUAGAGAAACAUGGUUAUAAGAUGGAGACUUCAUAGCAUCCA